GGGGAAUUUUCCGCAAUGGGCNCAAGCCUGUACGGAGCAACGCCGCGUGUAGGGNAGUCAGGCCUCUGGGCUGUAAACCUCUUUUCUCAAGGUAAGUCAGUCUCUGACGGUACUUGUAGGAAUCAGCAUCGGCUAACUCCGUGCCAGCAGCCGCGGUAAUACGGAGGAUGCAAGCGUUAUCCGGAAUGAUUGGGCGUAAAGCGUCCGCAGGUGGUUUAUCAAGUCUGCUGUCAAAGAGUUUGGCUCAACCAAAUAAAGGCAGUGGAAACUGACAGACUGGAGUGCGGUAAGGGCAGAGGGAAUUCCUGGUGUAGCGGUGAAAUGCGUAGAGAUCAGGAAGAACACCGGUGGCGAAAGCGCUCUGCUGGGCCGUAACUGACACUGAGGGACGAAAGCUAGGGGAGCGAAUGGGAUUAGAUACCCCAGUAGUC
RNAcentral lists this ribosomal RNA (431 nucleotides) under uncultured cyanobacterium. Its description in RNAcentral is "bacterial SSU rRNA". It matches the Rfam family "Bacterial small subunit ribosomal RNA", at positions 356 to 795 of the family's 1533-position model. The record is from RNAcentral. Lineage: Bacteria; Bacillati; Cyanobacteriota.